RNAcentral lists this ribosomal RNA (1061 nucleotides) under bacterium. Its description in RNAcentral is "bacterial SSU rRNA". It matches the Rfam family "Bacterial small subunit ribosomal RNA", at positions 67 to 1105 of the family's 1533-position model. The record is from RNAcentral.
CAGCACAGGAGAGCUUGCUCUCUGGGUGGCGAGUGGCGGACGGGUGAGGAAUACAUCGGAAUCUACUCUGUCGUGGGGGAUAACGUAGGGAAACUUACGCUAAUACCGCAUACGACCUACGGGUGAAAGCAGGGGACCUUCGGGCCUUGCGCGAUUGAAUGAGCCGAUGUCGGAUUAGCUAGUUGGCGGGGUAAAGGCCCACCAAGGCGACGAUCCGUAGCUGGUCUGAGAGGAUGAUCAGCCACACUGGAACUGAGACACGGUCCAGACUCCUACGGGAGGCAGCAGUGGGGAAUAUUGGACAAUGGGCGCAAGCCUGAUCCAGCCAUACCGCGUGGGUGAAGAAGGCCUUCGGGUUGUAAAGCCCUUUUGUUGGGAAAGAAAUCCAGCUGGCUAAUACCCGGUUGGGAUGACGGUACCCAAAGAAUAAGCACCGGCUAACUUCGUGCCAGCAGCCGCGGUAAUACGAAGGGUGCAAGCGUUACUCGGAAUUACUGGGCGUAAAGCGUGCGUAGGUGGUCGUUUAAGUCCGUUGUGAAAGCCCUGGGCUCAACCUGGGAACUGCAGUGGAUACUGGGCGACUAGAAUGUGGUAGAGGGUAGCGGAAUUCCUGGUGUAGCAGUGAAAUGCGUAGAGAUCAGGAGGAACAUCCAUGGCGAAGGCAGCUACCUGGACCAACAUUGACACUGAGGCACGAAAGCGUGGGGAGCAAACAGGAUUAGAUACCCUGGUAGUCCACGCCCUAAACGAUGCGAACUGGAUGUUGGGGUGCAAUUUGGCACGCAGUAUCGAAGCUAACGCGUUAAGUUCGCCGCCUGGGGGAGUACGGUCGCAAGACUGAAACUCAAAAGGAAUUGACGGGGGGCCCGCACAAGCGGUGGGAGUAUGUGGUUUAAUUUCGAUGCAACGCGAAAAAACCUUACCUGGGCCUUGACAUGUUCGAGAAACUUUCCAGAAGAUGGGAUUGGGUGCCUUCCGGGAACUCCAAACACAGGUGCCUGCAUGGCUUGUCGUCAGCCUCCGGGUCCUGAGAAUGUUGGGGUUAAGUUCCCCGCAACCAA